This 309-nucleotide long non-coding RNA is filed under the name Bos taurus (domestic cattle). Its description in RNAcentral is "long non-coding RNA NONBTAT018621". Lineage: Eukaryota; Metazoa; Chordata; Mammalia; Artiodactyla; Bovidae. The record is from RNAcentral.
AUGAAUGGUAAAACCCAUACACAGAAGAAGUCAAAAUAGUUUAUGUCUCACUAAUAUUUAUAAUUGGUAUCCUAAGAAAUAAAAAUACUCCAUAAUUUUUAAUACAUCUUCAGAUUUAUAAGGAGUACCCUGGGAUAGUACAUCAACAUCAUAAACAUUGUGAAGUUAUGGCAGUGGUAAGGAUUCCAAGUCAAUAUAUCCCUUCAGCCUUGGUCUUUCCCCUCCAUUUGUGGGAAAAAUUGAGUUAUAUUGCGUGAACUGAAAUGUCAAUCUUUGCAUUUCAGUGUACUAUGCCAAAUUUUCUCACCU